CAGUCGCCGCGGGAAUACGUAGGGUGCAAGCGUUAAUCGGAAUUACUGGGCGUAAAGCGUGCGCAGGCGGUUAUAUAAGACAGAUGUGAAAUCCCCGGGCUCAACCUGGGAACUGCAUUUGUGACUGUAUAGCUAGAGUACGGCAGAGGGGGAUGGAAUUCCGCGUGUAGCAGUGAAAUGCGUAGAUAUGCGGAGGAACACCGAUGGCGAAGGCAAUCCCCUGGGCCUGUACUGACGCUCAUGCACGAAAGCGUGGGGAGCAAACAGGAUUAGAUACCCCUGUAGUCCCUGUCUCUUAUAU
RNAcentral lists this ribosomal RNA (301 nucleotides) under uncultured bacterium. RNAcentral describes it as "partial 16S ribosomal RNA". It matches the Rfam family "Bacterial small subunit ribosomal RNA", at positions 509 to 809 of the family's 1533-position model. The record is from RNAcentral.